UGUUUAGGUGCUUAUACAUAAGUGAAAAGGGAAUAUGGUUAAAUUCCAUAGCAGCCCCCGCUACUGUAAUUGAUGACGAGUCUUAAAAAACCACUUAUUUUGAGAUAAAUAGGGAAGGAUAAGACAAGGAUGACUCAUGAGCCAGGAGACCUGCCUAAAUUA
This 162-nucleotide non-coding RNA is filed under the name Clostridium ihumii. The record is from RNAcentral. Lineage: Bacteria; Bacillati; Bacillota; Clostridia; Eubacteriales; Clostridiaceae.